CGUAGGGUGAACCUGCGGAGGGAUCAUUACCGAGUUUACAACUCCCAAACCCAAUGUGAACGUUACCAAACUGUUGCCUCGGCGGGAUCUCUGCCCCGGGUGCGUCGCAGCCCCGGACCAAGGCGCCCGCCGGAGGACCAACCAAAACUCUUAUUGUAUACCCCCUCGCGGGUUUUUUACUAUCUGAGCCAUCUCGGCGCCCCUCGUGGGCGUUUCGAAAAUGAAUCAAAACUUUCAACAACGGAUCUCUUGGUUCUGGCAUCGAUGAAGAACGCAGCGAAAUGCGAUAAGUAAUGUGAAUUGCAGAAUUCAGUGAAUCAUCGAAUCUUUGAACGCACAUUGCGCCCGCCAGUAUUCUGGCGGGCAUGCCUGUCCGAGCGUCAUUUCAACCCUCGAACCCCUCCGGGGGGUCGGCGUUGGGGAUCGGCCCUUUACGGGGCCGGCCCCGAAAUACAGUGGCGGUCUCGCCGCAGCCUCUCCUGCGCAGUAGUUUGCACACUCGCAUCGGGAGCGCGGCGCGUCCACAGCCGUUAAACACCCCAAACUUCUGAAAUGUUGACCUCGGAUCAGGUAGGAAUACCCGCUGAACUUAAGCAUA
This 598-nucleotide ribosomal RNA is filed under the name Trichoderma virens. RNAcentral's name for it is "eukaryotic LSU rRNA". The stretch from base 230 to 383 matches the Rfam family "5.8S ribosomal RNA". The record is from RNAcentral. Lineage: Eukaryota; Fungi; Ascomycota; Sordariomycetes; Hypocreales; Hypocreaceae.